Molecule: unclassified non-coding RNA, 345 nt
Filed under: soil metagenome
Description: partial contains 5.8S ribosomal RNA, internal transcribed spacer 2, and large subunit ribosomal RNA
Rfam family: 5.8S ribosomal RNA (bases 1-120)
Source: RNAcentral
GAUGAAGAACGUAGCGAAAUGCGAUAAGUAAUGUGAAUUGCAGAAUUCAGUGAAUCAUCGAGUCUUUGAACGCACAUUGCGCCCCCUGGUAUUCCGGGGGGCAUGCCUGUCCGAGCGUCAUUGCUGCCCUCAAGCACGGCUUGUGUGUUGGGCCUCCGUCCUCCUCCCGGGGGACGGGCCCGAAAGGCAGCGGCGGCACCGCGUCCGGUCCUCGAGCGUAUGGGGCUUCGUCACCCGCUCUUGUAGGACCGGCCGGCGCUUGCCGACACAUCAAUCUUUUUUCCAGGUUGACCUCGGAUCAGGUAGGGAUACCCGCUGAACUUAAGCAUAUCAAUAAGCGGAGGA